CGUAGGGGGCGAGCGUUGUCCGGAUUCAUUGGGCGUAAAGCGCGCGCAGGCGGCUCGGAAAGUCGGGUGUGAAAACCCGGGGCUCAACCCCGGGCCUGCAUCCGAUACUCCCGGGCUAGAGGCAGGUAGGGGAGAGCGGAAUUCCUGGUGUAGCGGUGAAAUGCGCAGAUAUCAGGAGGAACACCGGUGGCGAAGGCGGCUCUCUGGACCUGUCCUGACGCUCAGGCGCGAAAGCUAGGGGAGCGAACAGGAUUAGAUACCCUGGUAGUCCUAGCCGUAAACGAUGGGUGCUAGGUGUGGGGCCGGGAUCGACCGGUUCCGUGCCGUAGCUAACGCAUUAAGCACCCCGCCUGGGGAGUACGGCCGCAAGGCUA
RNAcentral lists this ribosomal RNA (374 nucleotides) under uncultured organism. Its description in RNAcentral is "bacterial SSU rRNA". It matches the Rfam family "Bacterial small subunit ribosomal RNA", at positions 526 to 896 of the family's 1533-position model. The record is from RNAcentral.